CCAUUAUCUUGACCAUGCCUCAAAUAUGAUCUUGUCUGAUCUCCAAGUUAAGCAGGGUUUGGCCUGAUUAGUACUGGAAUGGUAAACUGCUGGGAAAACCAGGUGCUAUAUGGG
RNAcentral lists this ribosomal RNA (114 nucleotides) under Periophthalmus magnuspinnatus. Lineage: Eukaryota; Metazoa; Chordata; Actinopteri; Gobiiformes; Gobiidae. The record is from RNAcentral.